CCCAGAGCCUUCCAGCAGGCUUCGCUAAGCUCCGGUAUUUUAAAGAGAUUUUAAUCACUACUCAUUAUGUGUUGAAAGAGGAAUUGCAUCGUCAGAGAUAUUCCUCGCCGAAUCACAGAGCCCGUGACAGGCAGGUCGCUUCUUUGUGGGUCUUCCUACUGUGGGCUGCUGCGUUGGGGUUUGGAGAACCGGAGGAGCUGGACUCUUAGCUCUCACAACGACUUUUCCCGCCAGGUCCUGGAAAGCAUCCAGGAGGACGCAUUUACUCUACCCCGAAACCCACCAUGGCCACUACAGACAAGGAAACCAAGAUGCUGAGGACCAGGAUUUUUACUGGAUAUACAUGAGGAACACGCUGUGGAACCCAGGCCACUCCAGUAACCACCCGAGUCCAGUUCAUCCAGCUCAAAUGUACGCAUGUCUGAGCUAUCUGAUGGGACAUGGGCAACCUCCCGACGGCCGCGUUCCGAAGGAGAAUGGCUUUUCCCUCCGAAGGAGAAUGGCUUUUCCCUCCUUCAGCUGCUGACAGCUCCUUCCUCCAGUGUUGAUGGAAUACUCACUGACUUGACCUCGUUCAGUUAACCACAGCUGAUGUGAGCUGAUGUGCGCAACGUGCAUGGACUGGACUCUGAGCACACCUGUGAUCGUCUUGAUUACGUUAAUCAAGGUGCGAGGACACCACCCACUGUGGGUAGAAACAUUCCCCGG
Long non-coding RNA from Peromyscus californicus insignis, 708 nucleotides. RefSeq lists it as uncharacterized. NCBI's taxonomy places the organism in Eukaryota, Metazoa, Chordata, Mammalia, Rodentia, Cricetidae. The transcript is spliced from 3 exons. The record is from RefSeq and is a predicted model, not a curated record.